GCGUCCAUCGUCUAAUGGAUAGGACGGAGGUCUUCUAAACCUCCGGUAUAGGUUCAAGUCCUAUUGGACGU
Molecule: transfer RNA, 71 nt
Filed under: Araucaria muelleri
Lineage: Eukaryota; Viridiplantae; Streptophyta; Pinopsida; Araucariales; Araucariaceae
Description: tRNA-Arg
Rfam family: tRNA
About the family: Transfer RNA (tRNA) molecules are approximately 80 nucleotides in length.
Source: RNAcentral